Molecule: ribosomal RNA, 324 nt
Filed under: uncultured eukaryote
Lineage: Eukaryota
Description: partial 18S ribosomal RNA
Rfam family: Eukaryotic small subunit ribosomal RNA
Source: RNAcentral
CCCUUAGAUGUUCUGGGCUGCACGCGCGCUACACUGAUGCGCUCAACGAGUUUUAACCUUGCCUGGAAAGGUUGGGUAAUCUUUUUAAAACGCAUCGUGAUGGGGAUAGAUUAUUGCAAUUAUUAAUCUUCAACGAGGAAUUCCUAGUAAGCGCGAGUCAUCAGCUCGUGCUGAUUACGUCCCUGCCCUUUGUACACACCGCCCGUCGCACCUACCGAUUGAAUGUUUCGGUGAAGAUUCCGGAUAGGACUUUUUUGAUUUAUUUCAAUUCUGUCUUAAAAGCUAUCUAAACCUCAACAUUUAGAGGAAGGUGAAGUCGUAACA